UCUUUCCCGAAAUUCGCCUGUUUUCCAAAAACAUCGCCUCCUGAAUAAUCAUAGGAGGUCCAGCCUGCCCAGUGACAAAGUUAAACGGCCGCGGUACCCUAACCGUGCAAAGGUAGCGCAAUCACUUGUUCUUUAAAUGAGGACUAGUAUGAAUGGCAUCACGAGGGUUAUACUGUCUCCCCCACCUAAUCAGUGAAACUGAUCUUCCCGUGAAGAAGCGGGAAUAGAAUUAUAAGACGAGAAGACCCCAUGGAGCUUUAAACUCAACAUCAACUGCCCUUUAAAUAACUUAUUAACCACGCAAAUCUGACAGUUAGUUUUCGGUUGGGGUGACCGCGGAGUAAAACAAAACCUCCACGAUGAAAGGAAUUAACCUCCUAAUCUAAGAGCUACAGCUCUAAGAAUCAACAAAUUGACAAAACUUGAUCCAAAUAUUUUGAUCAACGAACCAAGUUACCCUGGGGAUAACAGCGCAAUCCAUUUCAAGAGCUCAUAUCGACAAAUGGGUUUACGACCUCGAUGUUGGAUCAGGGUAUCCCAGUGGCGCAGCCGCUACUAAUGUCGUGUCAACGUUC
This 575-nucleotide ribosomal RNA is filed under the name Glyphoglossus yunnanensis (Yunnan squat frog). RNAcentral describes it as "partial large subunit ribosomal RNA". It matches the Rfam family "Bacterial large subunit ribosomal RNA", at positions 1781 to 2582 of the family's 2925-position model. The record is from RNAcentral. Lineage: Eukaryota; Metazoa; Chordata; Amphibia; Anura; Microhylidae.